Molecule: ribosomal RNA, 376 nt
Filed under: uncultured organism
Description: partial 16S ribosomal RNA
Rfam family: Bacterial small subunit ribosomal RNA
Source: RNAcentral
GUAGGUGGCAAGCGUUGUCCGGGAAUUAUUGGGGCGUAAAGCGCGCGCAGGCGGUUCUUUAAGUCUGAUGUGAAAGCCCACGGGCUCAACCGUGGAGGGUCAUGGAAACUGGAGAACUUGAGUACAGAAGAGGAAAGCGGAAUUCCACGUGUAGCGGUGAAAUGCGUAGAGAUGUGGAGGAACACCAGUGGCGAAGGCGGCUUUCUGGUCUGUAACUGACGCUGAGGCGCGAAAGCGUGGGGAGCAAACAGGAUUAGAUACCCUGGUAGUCCACGCCGUAAACGAUGAGUGCUAAGUGUUAGGGGGGUUUCCGCCCCUUAGUGCUGCAGCUAACGCAUUAAGCACUCCGCCUGGGGAGUACGGCCGCAAAGGCUGA